GUAGGUGAACCUGCGGAAGGAUCAUUAAAAAUGUGGACCCUCACCUGGGCCAGCCUUGUAAUGGGCUCUAAACACGUAAUGCCGGAAUUUCGAAAAGAGGGGGUCCUUUGAACGCGUAACAGGACAUGCCACCGGAGUACCACACGGGCCUUCCAUACCCCUAGCGUGCUCCUGUGAAGUCGUCCUGGUACGUGCAUUCAUUCAUCGCGUAAAGCUCUCGGAAGGAACCCUUAGUCUAGCCACCAAGGCC
This 250-nucleotide unclassified non-coding RNA is filed under the name plant metagenome. RNAcentral describes it as "partial contains small subunit ribosomal RNA, internal transcribed spacer 1, and 5.8S ribosomal RNA". The record is from RNAcentral.